RNAcentral lists this ribosomal RNA (342 nucleotides) under Mantidactylus melanopleura. Its description in RNAcentral is "partial 16S ribosomal RNA". It matches the Rfam family "Bacterial large subunit ribosomal RNA", at positions 2085 to 2591 of the family's 2925-position model. Lineage: Eukaryota; Metazoa; Chordata; Amphibia; Anura; Mantellidae. The record is from RNAcentral.
AAGACCCCAUGGAGCUUCAAACCCAACUACACCCCUAGCUCUUAUAGCCCCACAACCCCCCUAGGCGCCGUGUGCUUGGUUUUAGGUUGGGGCGACCGCGGAGUACAAUAAAACCUCCACAAUGAAUGGGAACACCCCCUUAUCUGAGGGCCACACCCCCUAAGAAUUAGAACACUAACAUAAAAUGAUCCAUUACUUGAUCAAUGAACCAAGUUACCCUGGGGAUAACAGCGCAAUCCAUUUCAAGAGCCCCUAUCGACAAAUGGGUUUACGACCUCGAUGUUGGAUCAGGGUACCCCAGUGGUGCAGCAGCUACUAACGGUUCGUUUGUUCAACGAUUAA